This 253-nucleotide ribosomal RNA is filed under the name uncultured bacterium. RNAcentral's name for it is "partial 16S ribosomal RNA". It matches the Rfam family "Bacterial small subunit ribosomal RNA", at positions 524 to 776 of the family's 1533-position model. The record is from RNAcentral.
UACGGAGGGUGCGAACGUUAAUCGGAAUCACUGGGCGUAAAGCGCGCGUAGGCGGUUUGCUAAGUGGGAUGUGAAAUCCCCGGGCUUAACCUGGGAAUGGCAUUUCAAACUGGCCGACUAGAGUACGGUAGAGGGAGGUAGAAUUUCCUGUGUAGCGGUGAAAUGCGUAGAUAUAGGAAGGAAUACCAGUGGCGAAGGCGGCCCCCUGGAUCGAUACUGACGCUGAGGCGCGAAAGCGUGGGGAGCAAACAGG